Molecule: small nuclear RNA, 101 nt
Organism: Solanum pennellii
Lineage: Eukaryota; Viridiplantae; Streptophyta; Magnoliopsida; Solanales; Solanaceae
Source: RefSeq, a predicted model, not a curated record
GUCUCUUCGGGGACAUUCGAUAAAAUUGAAACGAUACAGAAAAAAUUAACAUGCCCCUGCACAAGAAUGACCGCACAAAUCGAGAAAUAACAAAAUUGUGU